RNAcentral lists this ribosomal RNA (438 nucleotides) under uncultured bacterium. RNAcentral describes it as "bacterial SSU rRNA". It matches the Rfam family "Bacterial small subunit ribosomal RNA", at positions 355 to 786 of the family's 1533-position model. The record is from RNAcentral.
UGGGGAAUAUUGCGCAAUGGGCGAAAGCCUGACGCAGCGACGCCGCGUGAGGGAUGAAGGUCUUCGGAUCGUAAACCUCUGUCAGCAGGGAAGAAAGUUAUAUGUGCUAAUCAGCGUGUAAUUGACGGUACCUGCAAAGGAAGCACCGGCUAACUCCGUGCCAGCAGCCGCGGUAAUACGGAGGGUGCGAGCGUUAAUCGGAAUUACUGGGCGUAAAGCGCUCGUAGGUAGUAUAUCAAGUCAAGGGUGAAAUCCCCGCGCUCAACGUGGGAACUGCCUUUGAAACUGGUAGACUUGAGUGUGUGAGAGGAUAGUGGAAUUCCAGGUGUAGGAGUGAAAUCCGUAGAUAUCUGGAGGAACAUCAGUGGCGAAGGCGACUAUCUGGCACAUAACUGACACUGAGGAGCGAAGCGUGGGUAGCAAACAGGAUUAGAUACC